CCUACGGGUGGCAGCAGUGAGGAAUAUUGGUCAAUGGGCGUAAGCCUGAACCAGCCAAGUCUCGUGAGUGAUGAAGGUUCUAUGGAUCGUAAACCUCUUUUAUAAGGGAAUAAAGUGUGUGACGUGUCCUAUUUUGUAUGUACCUUAUGAAUAAGGAUCGGCUAACUCCGUGCCAGCAGCCGCGGUAAUACGGAGGAUCCGAGCGUUAUCCGGAUUUAUUGGGUUUAAAGGGUGCGUAGGCGGCCUUGUAAGUCAACUGUGAAAGUCUGUGGCUCAACCAUAGAAUUGCCGUUGAAACUGGGGGGCUUGAGUAUGUUUGAGGCAGGCGGAAUGCGUGGUGUAGCGGUGAAAUGCUUAGAUAUCACGAAGAACCCCGAUUGCGAAGGCAGCCUGCCAAGCCAUGACUGACGCUGAUGCACGAAAGCGUGGGGAUCAAACAGGAUUAGAGACCCUGGUAGGC
This 460-nucleotide ribosomal RNA is filed under the name uncultured bacterium. RNAcentral's name for it is "partial 16S ribosomal RNA". It matches the Rfam family "Bacterial small subunit ribosomal RNA", at positions 338 to 795 of the family's 1533-position model. The record is from RNAcentral.